This 962-nucleotide ribosomal RNA is filed under the name Salmonella enterica. RNAcentral's name for it is "partial 23S ribosomal RNA". It matches the Rfam family "Bacterial large subunit ribosomal RNA", at positions 582 to 1547 of the family's 2925-position model. Lineage: Bacteria; Pseudomonadati; Pseudomonadota; Gammaproteobacteria; Enterobacterales; Enterobacteriaceae. The record is from RNAcentral. RNAcentral also lists the same sequence under 1 other name.
CCCUUUGGGGUGUGACUGCGUACCUUUUGUAUAAUGGGUCAGCGACUUAUAUUCUGUAGCAAGGUUAACCGAAUAGGGGAGCCGGAGGGAAACCGAGUCUUAAUUGGGCGUUAAGUUGCAGGGUAUAGACCCGAAACCCGGUGAUCUAGCCAUGGGCAGGUUGAAGGUUGGGUAACACUAACUGGAGGACCGAACCGACUAAUGUUGAAAAAUUAGCGGAUGACCUGUGGCUGGGGGUGAAAGGCCAAUCAAACCGGGAGAUAGCUGGUUCUCCCCGAAAGCUAUUUAGGUAGCGCCUCGUGAAUUCAUCUCCGGGGGUAGAGCACUGUUUCGGCUAGGGGGCCAUCCCGGCUUACCAACCCGAUGCAAACUGCGAAUACCGGAGAAUGUUAUCACGGGAGACACACGGCGGGUGCUAACGUCCGUCGUGAAGAGGGAAACAACCCAGACCGCCAGCUAAGGUCCCAAAGUCAUGGUUAAGUGGGAAACGAUGUGGGAAGGCCCAGACAGCCAGGAUGUUGGCUUAGAAGCAGCCAUCAUUUAAAGAAAGCGUAAUAGCUCACUGGUCGAGUCGGCCUGCGCGGAAGAUGUAACGGGGCUAAACCAUGCACCGAAGCUGCGGCAGCGACACUCAGGUGUUGUUGGGUAGGGGAGCGUUCUGUAAGCCUGCGAAGGUGGCCUGUGAGGGUUGCUGGAGGUAUCAGAAGUGCGAAUGCUGACAUAAGUAACGAUAAAGCGGGUGAAAAGCCCGCUCGCCGGAAGACCAAGGGUUCCUGUCCAACGUUAAUCGGGGCAGGGUGAGUCGACCCCUAAGGCGAGGCCGAAAGGCGUAGUCGAUGGGAAACGGGUUAAUAUUCCCGUACUUGGUGUUACUGCGAAGGGGGGACGGAGAAGGCUAUGUUGGCCGGGCGACGGUUGUCCCGGUUUAAGCGUGUAGGUGUGUGUUCCAGGUAAAUCCGGUU